RNAcentral lists this transfer RNA (72 nucleotides) under Dolosicoccus paucivorans. It matches the Rfam family "tRNA". Rfam says of the family: Transfer RNA (tRNA) molecules are approximately 80 nucleotides in length. The record is from Rfam by way of RNAcentral. Lineage: Bacteria; Bacillati; Bacillota; Bacilli; Lactobacillales; Aerococcaceae.
GCGGAUUUAGUUCAGCGGUAGAACACCACCUUGCCAAGGUGGGGGUCGCGAGUUCGAAUCUCGUAAUCCGCU